This 464-nucleotide long non-coding RNA is filed under the name Pelobates cultripes (western spadefoot toad). The record is from RNAcentral. Lineage: Eukaryota; Metazoa; Chordata; Amphibia; Anura; Pelobatidae.
CACGAACACAGCGAAUUCAUGACCAGAGUUUAUAUAACCGAAAGGCAUACGGGUCCAGGUAUACUGCUGCUUUCCAAAUGUGAAGGCCAAUUUGUAUUGGUCUUCAUUAUGGACUGGUACAGUCCAAUAUCCCUGCGCACAGUCAAUGGCAGUGAAUAUUUUGGAUCCCUGCAUUUGUACCAAACAUUGGUCUAUGUAUGGCGUUGGCCAACCAGACAAAUAGAUGCGUUUAUUUAGCUGUCGUAAGUCAGCGCAUAAACGCCAUUGUCCAUUAGGUUUCAGAAUCCCCAAGAUCGGAUUAUUAUACGAACUGUGCACUGGACGUAUAAUGCCCCUUUCCUUUAAAUUCUGAAUGAUGUCUUGUAGACCAUCAUAUGACGCUAAUGGGAGUCCAUAUUGUUUGAUAAAUACAGGUGGUAAAUUUGGAUCAGUUUGUAUUCUGGCUACGUGGAGGUUAGUUAACC